UACGGGGGGGGCAAGCGUUGUUCGGAAUUACUGGGCGUAAAGGGCUCGUAGGCGGCCAACUAAGUCGGACGUGAAAUCCCUCGGCUUAACCGGGGAACUGCGUCCGAUACUGGAUGGCUGGAGGUUGGGAGAGGGAUGCGGAAUUCCAGGUGUAGCGGCGAAAUGCGUAGAUAUCUGGAGGAACACCGGUGGCGAAGGCGGCAUCCUGGACCAAUUCUGACGCUGAGGAGCGAAAGCCAGGGGAGCAAACGGG
RNAcentral lists this ribosomal RNA (253 nucleotides) under uncultured bacterium. RNAcentral describes it as "partial 16S ribosomal RNA". It matches the Rfam family "Bacterial small subunit ribosomal RNA", at positions 524 to 776 of the family's 1533-position model. The record is from RNAcentral.